This 2010-nucleotide unclassified non-coding RNA is filed under the name Nilaparvata lugens (brown planthopper). RNAcentral's name for it is "coiled-coil domain-containing protein 124, transcript variant X2". The record is from RNAcentral. Lineage: Eukaryota; Metazoa; Arthropoda; Insecta; Hemiptera; Delphacidae.
GAUUCUUAACCUCGACAAAUUUUUCGAGUUUUUAAGUAAAUUUUUAUCCAAAUAAUUUUUGUUGUAAAUCUCAUUUCAUUUUUUAUAAACGUUAUCACAUUAAUAGAAAAAUAUAAUGUAAAGUUGAGUACUAAAUGUAGAACCAAAUUCGACUAUUAUAAUAUUGCGUGAUAUUGCUAUUACUGAUUUUAUUAUAACUUACUUAUCAGUGGUACAAUAAGAGGGUUUACACGAUGCCAAAAAAAUUUGCUGGUGAAAACAGUAAAGCGGCUGCAAGUAGAGCUCGUAAAGCCGCAGCUAAAGAGGAGGAAACAAUCAAAAAACAAAAAGCCAUUGAAGAUGAAUAUUGGAAGGAUGACGAUAAGAAUCUUGCCAAGAAACAGCAGAAAAAGGAAGAGCAGGAGAAAAAGAAACAAGAAUUGUUAGCGAAGAAGGCUCUCAACAAACAGCUGGCAGAAGAAGAGUUGAAAAGCAUUCAAGUCGGUGGAAAGCAAUCAGCCUCCAAAGUGACUAGAGCACAAAUUGUUUCGGAAACUGAGAAACGAAACCAGGUAGCUAUGAAAGCCAAGCCUCAAGUGGAAACUCACCUCAGCAAGCCACUUGAGGAGAAUAUCAACAGACUUACUAUUGAAGGUGAAGAGGCGAGGACUGUCACUGAGGCUAUUAGUAUUCUAAGUACAAAAGAUGCAGAGGUUGACUUACAUCCAGAGCGGAGAAUGAAGGCAGCCUACAACGCGUUCCACGACGCCAACAUCAAUAGAAUAAAACUCGAAAAUCCAACAAUGCGCAUGUCUCAAUGGAAACAACUUCUAUGGAAAGAAUGGCUCAAAUCACCCGAGAACCCUACCAAUCAAAGGAAUUAGAAAAUACUUUUUGUAAUAAUUGCACGAAUAUAUUUCAACUUGUGUAAAUUUUUCAGGACUUGAAAGCCAGAAUAUUAGUGUAAAGCACACUUGAAACAGGGGCAUUAUAGUGGACAGCUAGUUGACACUACUAUUGUCCCUGAGUGCAGGCUGCUUUAUGGAGAUAUUUUCGAUGAUAUAGAUUCCAAUGGCCAUUUCUAUAAAAUACUUAAUAACAUUCUUAGCACGUUUGGUUGUCUGCCAAUUAGCUACUAGAUUUCAUAUUAUUAGUAGCUGAGCAACCAAAGUGUGCUUCAUUGAGAACGUAUUGAAGAAUCGUUUAUAAAUAAUAAGGCCUAAAUCCAUCAUCCUUAAGCAAAUAAUGCAUCUUAUACUAUAUAAAAAUCCAUGUAUUUGAUUUUUCAUGGAAAUUAUUUGUUGGAUUCAGAAUACAUUGUACUUACCUUUUGAGUGGAGUCCCAUCUAAAUUUGAAAAUAGAUGCCUAAAGUUAUCUUAUGUCACUUCUAAGGAGGUACCAGGAAGUCGUGGUAUUAAUCGAAAUAUUGAUUUAUAUGAACUAUAACGACACGUUGUGCUCUUAAAAUACUAAUAAAAGGCUACUAUUUCAUCUGCUUAGAAAUAUAACUAAUAUAAUAUAAUCAAAUUUUCUCAAGUUGAACCAAACUUAAAUUAGAGAAAUCAAAUCACAAAAUAGUUUUGGAUUUUGGAUCAAAAACAGUUUUUUUGUUGAGAAUUAUUCAGUCAUCUCCUCUCUUCUUACUGGCUUUCAAAUGCUUGAAAAAAAAAAAUUAAGCUGUCAACUAUUUAUAUGAAGAAGUAAUUGUUUUGUUAAAAUUUAUACUGUAGGGAAUAUAUUGUGAUCAAUAAUAUAGUUUUAAACAAAGUGAUUUCAAUUGAGAAGUAUAGUGAUAUACACUUUGAAGAGUCAGCAUUGCUCGAAUGGAAGGGAUUGAUAUCAUAUAAUGAGGGAACGCUGACUGUAUAAAGUGAUUCUCACUACAGUGAUUCUCCCAAUGUACUGAGGUCAUUGGAACUUUUGAACAAAUCAGAUUGUGUUUUACAAUGUUCAUUUUGUUUGAAUCUUGACUAGAGAUGGUAGUCUAUUGUAUGAAUUCUAUUUAUUUAAUUAUAAUUAAAUUCUAAUUA